AUGGCGGCUCUGCGGCGGCUGCGUGGCGGCGUGGUGCGGGGCGGCGGCGGCCAGGCCCAGCAAGCAGGCGGCGGCGUACGGAGGGAUGUCCAGCGGCGGCGGCGGCCGGUCUGGGCUCAGAUGGGCUUCGGCGGGCCGUGCAUGCUGCUGGCUUGUCUUCCAUGCUCCGUCAAUGGUAAACUGCUCCUGGGCUCGACCCGCAACACAAGGACGUCGGGGGCUCCGGCCCUCGGCGUGGCGGUGGUGGCUACUUCCUUCGCCGGAGGUGGUCGGCCAGCUGGUUGUGGCAUCACACAUCCAGUCCUAGCGCUGAGUGGGAGACGAUGCUGCCGGUGA
This 336-nucleotide ribosomal RNA is filed under the name Triticum aestivum (bread wheat). RNAcentral describes it as "partial small subunit ribosomal RNA". The record is from RNAcentral. Lineage: Eukaryota; Viridiplantae; Streptophyta; Magnoliopsida; Poales; Poaceae.